RNAcentral lists this ribosomal RNA (253 nucleotides) under uncultured bacterium. RNAcentral describes it as "partial 16S ribosomal RNA". It matches the Rfam family "Bacterial small subunit ribosomal RNA", at positions 524 to 776 of the family's 1533-position model. The record is from RNAcentral.
UACGAAGGUCCCGAGCGUUGUUCGGAAUCACUGGGCGUAAAGGGAGCGUAGGCGGCAUGGUAAGUCAGAUGUGAAAUCCCGGGGCUCAACCCCGGAACUGCAUCCGAUACUGCCUUGCUUGAGGGUUGGAGAGGUGACUGGAAUUAUCGGUGUAGCAGUGAAAUGCGUGGAUAUCGAUAGGAACACUCGUGGCGAAAGCGAGUCACUGGACAACAUCUGACGCUGAGGCUCGAAGGCUAGGGGAGCAAAAGGG